Molecule: ribosomal RNA, 440 nt
Filed under: uncultured bacterium
Lineage: Bacteria
Description: partial 16S ribosomal RNA
Rfam family: Bacterial small subunit ribosomal RNA
Source: RNAcentral
CCUACGGGAGGCAGCAGUGGGGAAUAUUGGACAAUGGGGGGAACCCUGAUCCAGCGACGCCGCGUGAGUGAAGAAGUAUUUCGGUAUGUAAAGCUCUAUCAGCAGGGAAGAAAAUGACGGUACCUGAGUAAGAAGCCCCGGCUAACUACGUGCCAGCAGCCGCGGUAAUACGUAGGGGGCAAGCGUUAUCCGGAUUUACUGGGUGUAAAGGGAGCGUAGACGGCAGUGCAAGUCUGGAGUGAAAGGCGGGGGCUCAACCCCCGGACUGCUCUGGAAACUGUACGGCUGGAGUGCAGGAGAGGUAAGUGGAAUUCCUAGUGUAGCGGUGAAAUGCGUAGAUAUUAGGAGGAACACCGGUGGCGAAGGCGGCUUACUGGACUGUAACUGACGUUGAGGCUCGAAAGCGUGGGGAGCAAACAGGAUUAGAUACCCCGGUAGUC